GACUAACGCUGGCGGCGUGCCUAACACAUGCAAGUCGAACGAAGUAGCAAUACUUAGUGGCAGACGGGUGAGUAACACGUGGUCAACCUACCUCAGCGUGGGGGAUAACUAGCCGAAAGGUUAGCUAAUACCGCAUACGAUCGCUAAGUGGCAUCACAUGGCGAUGAAAGGAGCAAUCCGCGCAGAGAGGGGACUGCGUCCCAUUAGUUAGUUGGUGGGGUAACGGCCUACCAAGACUCCGAUGGGUAGCUGGCUUGAGAGAGCGACCAG
This 270-nucleotide ribosomal RNA is filed under the name uncultured bacterium. Its description in RNAcentral is "partial 16S ribosomal RNA". It matches the Rfam family "Bacterial small subunit ribosomal RNA", at positions 28 to 307 of the family's 1533-position model. The record is from RNAcentral.